Molecule: ribosomal RNA, 445 nt
Filed under: uncultured bacterium
Lineage: Bacteria
Description: bacterial SSU rRNA
Rfam family: Bacterial small subunit ribosomal RNA
Source: RNAcentral
GUGAGGAAUAUUGGUCAAUGGGCGCAAGCCUGAACCAGCCAUCCCGCGUGCAGGAAGACGGCCCUAUGGGUUGUAAACUGCUUUUCCAGAAGGCGAAUUGUCUCGUCGUGACGGGAUUUGACGGUAUUUUGGGAAUAAGCAUCGGCUAACUCCGUGCCAGCAGCCGCGGUAAUACGGAGGAUGCGAGCGUUAUCCGGAUUCAUUGGGUUUAAAGGGUGCGUAGGCGGACUAUUAAGUCAGUGGUGAAAUCCCUCCGCUUAACGGAGGAACUGCCAUUGAUACUGAUAGUCUUGAGUUUGGUUAAGGUAGGCGGAAUGUGUAAUGUAGCGGUGAAAUGCUUAGAUAUUACACAGAACACCGAUUGCGUAGGCAGCUUACUGGGCCGACACUGACGCUGAGGCACGAAAGCGUGGGGAUCGAACAGGAUUAGAUACCCCGGUAGUCC